UAGUUCUACAAUUGCUGCAGCUUCCUUAAGUAGUAUCCAUUAAGAGGUCGUCAUCUAGCUAAAAUCGACCUUUUGAUGUACUACUUUAAAAAAGCACAGUCAAAGUCAACAGAACUG
RNAcentral lists this non-coding RNA (117 nucleotides) under Drosophila pseudoobscura. RNAcentral's name for it is "microRNA dps-mir-968 precursor". Its record names the gene dps-mir-968. The stretch from base 19 to 96 matches the Rfam family "mir-968 microRNA precursor family". Lineage: Eukaryota; Metazoa; Arthropoda; Insecta; Diptera; Drosophilidae. The record is from miRBase by way of RNAcentral. RNAcentral also lists the same sequence under 1 other name.